RNAcentral lists this ribosomal RNA (768 nucleotides) under Triticum aestivum (bread wheat). RNAcentral describes it as "partial small subunit ribosomal RNA". Lineage: Eukaryota; Viridiplantae; Streptophyta; Magnoliopsida; Poales; Poaceae. The record is from RNAcentral.
AUGUCCCCCUUCCUCUUCAUCCUAGCCAUCGAUCCACUGCACCACCUCAUCGCCGCAGCAGUGGAGCAGCAGCUCCUGCACCGCCUCCCUGGUCGUGACCUUGCGCUACGGGUGAGCCUAUAUGCUGACGAUGCCGUCAUCUUCUUAAACCCUAGCUGCGACAAAGUCGACUCCUUGUUGCGAAUCCUAGGUGAUUUUGGAAAGGCAACAGGGCUCUGCAUCAACCCGGCCAAAUUGACAAUCUCUCUGAUCCGCUGCGAGAACAUCAACAUUGGAGAAGCGCUGCAGGGUUUCAAUCAAGGCAAGAUUAGCCGGCUGGAUGGGCAAGCUGAUGCCGUUGGCGCGGGACACUGUGCGCUGGUCCGCUGCGUCUUGAGCGCCAUGCCCACCUUCGCGCUCAGUGUCCUCCGCGUCACAAAGAAGAUCCUCAAGGAGGUCGACAAGUGCAGGCGGCGUUUCCUUUGGCGCCAAGAUGAAGAGAUCACCGGGGCUAGCUACAAGGUCAACUGGCCGACGCUUUUCCCUAGGCUUUUCACCCACUCUCGCCGCAAACACAGAUCGGUCCAGGAAGCACUCAGCGAUGACACCUGGAUCCGUGACCUCACCCACGGAGACAACCAGGACCUCCUCGAGGACGUCCUAGCCAUGCACCGCGAGCUGCAGCGAUCGGCACAACCCCUUCGACCAGGAGUGUCGGACGCUCUCACCUGGAAGCUUGCGAGCUCGGGGACGUAUUCGGCCAGGUCCGCCUACCAGGCGCAGUUUUAG